This 468-nucleotide ribosomal RNA is filed under the name uncultured bacterium. RNAcentral's name for it is "partial 16S ribosomal RNA". It matches the Rfam family "Bacterial small subunit ribosomal RNA", at positions 28 to 507 of the family's 1533-position model. The record is from RNAcentral.
GACGAACGCUGGCGGCGUGCUUAACACAUGCCAGUCGAACGGAAAGGCCCUGCUUUUGUGGGGUGCUCGAGUGGCGAACGGGUGAGUAACACGUGAGUAACCUGCCCUUGACUUUGGGAUAACUUCAGGAAACUGGGGCUAAUACCGGGUAGGAGCUCCUGCUGCAUGGUGGGGGUUGGAAAGUUUCGGCGGUUGGGGAUGGACUCGCGGCUUAUCAGCUUGUUGGUGGGGUAGUGGCUUACCAAGGCUUUGACGGGUAGCCGGCCUGAGAGGGUGGCCGGCCACAUUGGGACUGAGAUACGGCCCAGACUCCUACGGGAGGCAGCAGUGGGGAAUAUUGCACAAUGGGCGGAAGCCUGAUGCAGCAACGCCGCGUGCGGGAUGACGGCCUUCGGGUUGUAAACCGCUUUCGCCUGUGACGAAGCGUGAGUGACGGUAAUGGGUAAAGAAGCACCGGCUAACUACGUG